GAAAAACUUCGAUUGUCACCGAGGGAGGCUUUGCGAGAAACACUUCACGAUGGAUCAGUAUGAGCCAGCAAUUCUGGCACAAACUGGCAUCAAGAAACUCAACCCAAAUGCGGUUCCUUCUAUAUUUGCGCAUCGGCCUCUUCCGAAAGAGCGCAAGCCACCCCGCAAAAGGGGGAAUGAAACGGUUCCUGCUGCCUCCUGGGACCAGCCAGGAACGUCCACAAGGGUGACCCCUCAACCAGUGGG
Rhipicephalus microplus (southern cattle tick) is the source of this 246-nucleotide long non-coding RNA. The record is from RefSeq and is a predicted model, not a curated record. NCBI's taxonomy places the organism in Eukaryota, Metazoa, Arthropoda, Arachnida, Ixodida, Ixodidae.